This 63-nucleotide ribosomal RNA is filed under the name Heliothrips haemorrhoidalis. RNAcentral describes it as "partial 28S ribosomal RNA". Lineage: Eukaryota; Metazoa; Arthropoda; Insecta; Thysanoptera; Thripidae. The record is from RNAcentral.
GACCUCAGCUCGGGUGAGACUACCCCCUGGAUUAAAGCAUUUCAAUAAGGGGAGGAAAAGAAA